Molecule: small RNA, 1652 nt
Filed under: Histoplasma capsulatum
Lineage: Eukaryota; Fungi; Ascomycota; Eurotiomycetes; Onygenales; Ajellomycetaceae
Also listed under: 1 other name
Description: hypothetical RNA
Source: RNAcentral
AGGUUAUUCGCCCAGCAGAGAGUCCUAUGUACUCCUUCGAUUUGUUGUUGAGCUACGGUCUUCACCACUAAUGUUGAAUGGACGAGACUAUCUUAUCUCUGAUUGGUUGGCAUAGACGUCAAGCUCCGGUCCCGCCACAGCGGACAGUGCUUGACUUUUCCUCUUGUUGUUGACUGCAACGCCAAAUUUGCUAGCACUCAAUUGAACAGUGAGCAGACAACCGAGAGGCCUCAGUUAAUGAAAUGAAUACUAUUAGAUCCACCUGGUACGUUCUACCUCAUAUCUAGUACCCAGGGCAGCAAGCCGCUUUCCCAACGUCAUACAACAUUUUUUGGGCAAAUACUAUACAGGAUCUAACCGGCAUGUCCACCGCACGACAAACAGGGUGGGCUGGGGCUCCCUCUGUAUCGCCGGCGGUGGCGCCUACUACUUUGCCAAAAAAUCCAUAAACGCCGACCGCGCCCACCGACACGAAGAAGCCCAACGACGUAAAGAGGAAGCCCUCCGAAGAGAAAAUUCCGUAAAAUCACCGUCCUCAAUCGCACCGUCGACGACAAUGCCACAAAAGUCCUCACCCUCAGCCGGCCGCGCGAACUUCUCUCCACAAGCGGAUGACACCGGCAAUCCAAGCCGGGAAGCUGGACAUGACCCUGCUGCGACGCGGCAUGAACCCGAGACGCUGGCGGAGAAGAUUGAUGAAAAAGGAAAAUACGAGGCAGCAGAGGCAUAUACAUCGAGGAAGGGGAAUCGGCUUUGAAUUUGUGGCUUUAAGCUGACUACAAGGCUUUUUUUUUUUUUUUUUGAGAAGCAUUUUGUCAUUUUAUUUUGUCAACUAGUGCUGCGUGUGCGAAUGGGAAGGAGGGCCAAAUAAGGAAAAGGAGGUAGUCAUAUACAACUGGAAACUUGACUAUCUGGAAACAUUUGGGGAAGGUAUGUGGUGUAUUUUUAUUUGAAUUAUAUUGUAGAAAAAGUUUGUAUGGUUAAAUUUGAUCAAACCGCACUCUGAAUCCUCAGCCCUCCUUGUACGGAUCUUAACGGAGGUGAAGAAAAUGUUAAUUUGUUUGAAAACCCAUUUCCAAAUCCAAACUUGAUCAUGUUUGUUCUUAUGCCCAAAGGUUCGUAGGUCGCGUCCAAAGUCCAUGAAAAAGAGAGCAGUCAUGCCUAUCCCAAUCCAUCCCAGUAUUCGAAACACCUGAGGUAUUUGUACUAUCUAUAUAUAAAAAAAAAAAGGAAAUAUAAAUAUAAAUCAAAUAAAACAAGAAAGUAGACGCAGCAAGAUAUUUACCCAAUAACGCCGCCCCACAAGCCCUCAUGCGCAAAAACAGAAGCUAUCCCAUAUCUCAAGUGUUCCCGAAUGACUCACUCCCAUCCUAGGUAAAAAGCAGGCCUUAGGUCAAGACAUAAAGCGUAAGCGGUCUCUGUAUAUUUUACAGAUAACGCCGUCGGUGAAACGUAUUUAUAGUUUUAAUCGCAUUUCCUAGCGGGCAUGGAAGCAGAGGGGUGGAUAUUUAUUCGUAUGUGGGCUUCCAUGCCUCUUUUCGCGCGAGCUCUGGAUCGCGGGCGGGAUGAAAGGGGCCACGACCAGAGAGGUGAUCCCCGACAUCGUCAGGAGCCUGUGAGUGCGAGUCUCAGGCUUUGGGGCCUGGGUGGAG